This 65-nucleotide transfer RNA is filed under the name Staphylinoidea sp. 1 KM-2017. RNAcentral describes it as "tRNA-Arg". The record is from RNAcentral. Lineage: Eukaryota; Metazoa; Arthropoda; Insecta; Coleoptera.
AAAUAAGAAACAAAAUAUUGUAUUUAGUUUCGACCUAAAAAUCUGGUAUCGCAUACCCUUAUUUU